GCCGAGGUCCUCUUCUAGGAUUGGUUGUCCACUCAUAACCAUAAGAUAAUUAAAACGGGGGGGGGCAGGGUAAAAAAAAAACCCUUUUAUCAGCCAUAGGUUAAUGCAAGUGUUUAACAGAUGCUUCGCUAUUAAAAUAUUUCCCCCCAAUACUGAAGAAUCUUAAACCAGCAACCCUAACAGAGAUUGCGAAGAUUUUCAAAGUGGGGCACCUCGAUUUCUCGAAUCUGUGGUGUGGCGAAUAUCCGUGUUCCUCCUGCUUAACUAGCCUGUUUGAAGGCACAGUUCAUUCUCGAGCAAUUCGUCACCUCCUGGGGGUCUUCUCUUCCCGUCUACAGGAGAGUGUGACUUCAGAAAGAACUUCGGAUUGGCCAAGGCCAUUAAAGCUGGUGAGCGACUUGGAAGUCAUUUAGAAAGGAACAGACCUUCAACCUCAAGCCUUUGCGGGCACUGGGAAAGUGUCUUCCCAAUCAAUCUGGCUUGCAGGCGGCAGGACCAACUCUGACCUGGCUUAUCUUGUACCCAUCCUAAAUACACCAAACUCAAGAGGUAGCCAGGGCCGCCUCAACACCGAGGCAGGUCUGAUUCUAUUUAUUCUAAAGACAGAGUUGGAGAUGGGCUACCAUUGGUGUUGAUUGAGAUGACAAGCAGUCACCUGAGCCCAUACAGCUGGAUUGACAUAUGAGAAUCAGAGAAAUGAAUGAAAGAUUAGAGUGGGAGAAAGUGCUUGCUGCCAAGCUUGAUGACCUAAAUUGAAUACCUGGAACCUACACGACAGAAAGAGAGAGCUGACUGCUGAAAGAUGUCCUCAGAUCUUCACAUGUGCACAGUGGCACCUAUCCAACCAUGCACAUAGUAUAUUAAAAAUUAUUUUUUAAAAAA
This 882-nucleotide long non-coding RNA is filed under the name Mus musculus (house mouse). Its description in RNAcentral is "Hand2, opposite strand 1". Lineage: Eukaryota; Metazoa; Chordata; Mammalia; Rodentia; Muridae. The record is from RNAcentral.